AUUGAACGCUGGCGGCAGGCCUAACACAUGCAAGUCGAACGAGUGGCGGACGGGUGAGUAAUGUCUGGGAAACUGCCUGAUGGAGGGGGAUAACUACUGGAAACGGUAGCUAAUACCGCAUACCAUCAGAUGGGCCCAGACGGGAUUAGCUUGGUGGUGGGGUAACGGCUCACCAAGGCGACGAUCCCUAGCGGGUCUGAUAGGAUGACCAGCCACACGGGAACUGAGACACGGUCCAGACUCCUACGGGAGGCAGCAGUGGGGAAUAUUACGCAAUGGGCGAAAGCCUGAUGCAGCCAUGCCGCGUGUAUGAAGAAGGCCUUCGGGUUGUAAAGUACUUUCAGCGGGGAGGCGUUACCCGCAGGAGAAGCACCGGCUAACUCCGUGCCAGCAGCCGCGGUAAUUC
RNAcentral lists this ribosomal RNA (406 nucleotides) under uncultured bacterium. RNAcentral describes it as "partial 16S ribosomal RNA". It matches the Rfam family "Bacterial small subunit ribosomal RNA", at positions 30 to 526 of the family's 1533-position model. The record is from RNAcentral.